Molecule: ribosomal RNA, 270 nt
Filed under: uncultured bacterium
Lineage: Bacteria
Description: partial 16S ribosomal RNA
Rfam family: Bacterial small subunit ribosomal RNA
Source: RNAcentral
GAUAAACGCUGGCGGCGUGCCUAACACAUGCAAGUCGAACGACCUUGGCCUCGACAGAGACCAAGGGAGUGGCGGACGGGUGAGGAACACGUGGGUGACCUACCCCAAAGUGAGGGAUACCGGCGAGAAAUCGCCGACAAUCCCGCAUAGGCUGCGCUUUUUGUGAGGAAGGGAGCAGCAAAGUCGCGCGUCGUGAGACGAGGGCGCUUUGGGAUGGGCCCGCGGCCGAUUAGCUGGUUGGUGGGGUAAGAGCCUACCAAGGCUGCGAUC